GCUUGGGUAGCUCAGUUGGUAGAGCACUUGCCCGCGACGCUACGGUCGCAGGUUCGAGUCCUGCCUCGGGCA
RNAcentral lists this transfer RNA (72 nucleotides) under Schistocerca americana (American grasshopper). Its description in RNAcentral is "tRNA-Arg". It matches the Rfam family "tRNA". Rfam says of the family: Transfer RNA (tRNA) molecules are approximately 80 nucleotides in length. Their secondary structure includes four short double-helical elements and three loops (D, anti-codon, and T loops). Lineage: Eukaryota; Metazoa; Arthropoda; Insecta; Orthoptera; Acrididae. The record is from RNAcentral.